UACGUAGGGUGCAAGCGUUAUCCGGAGUUAUUGGGCGUAAAGAGCUCGUAGGCGGUUUGUCGCGUCUGCUGUGAAAACCGGAGGCUCAACCUCCGGCCUGCAGUGGGUACGGGCAAACUAGAGUGCGGUAGGGGAGAUUGGAAUUCCUGGUGUAGCGGUGGAAUGCGCAGAUAUCAGGAGGAACACCGAUGGCGAAGGCAGAUCUCUGGGCCGUAACUGACGCUGAGGAGCGAAAGCGUGGGGAGCGAACAGG
RNAcentral lists this ribosomal RNA (253 nucleotides) under uncultured bacterium. RNAcentral describes it as "partial 16S ribosomal RNA". It matches the Rfam family "Bacterial small subunit ribosomal RNA", at positions 524 to 776 of the family's 1533-position model. The record is from RNAcentral.